CCCACUCCACUUUCACGCUUUAGUGACACACACGGAUUAGCAGCUUCAUGGGAGGUUUACACAUGGUGUGAUGAAUAUGCAAACCAAGCUGCAUCCACCUAAUAACAGUUGUGGAUUGUGACUGCAGCCAAAGGAAUUUUGUACAGUACAUUUCAUUUCUUCAAUCACCAGAAACCCCACAAAAGAGCUCUGUUUUGAAUUGGUAAAAUAUGACCUUCCUGUCAUGUCAUGGCGACAUUUGUUACACCACCAAGACUGAAUCUCUGGGGAUGUUUAGUCACUCUGUCAGCCCCUGAAGAGGUUACCAUGGAGACAGUAGGGAGAGGGGAGGUCUCCUGACACCAAGCAGGAGUUGGUAAUUGGCAGAUUAUCAGAAGACAGAGGUUACUGUAGCCCUUACAGAAGGUUCACAGCACCACAGUCACAAACAGUACACACUCUCAAAUUAUAUCAACUGCACAGUCCCUCUAUCUGCAGGGGGAAAACACAACAAAGAAAGCUAUAUCUGAGAUACAUAGCGCUAAAUACCGUGAGGAGAAAAUAGCUGGUCAUUAGCCUUUACCCAGUCUCUUAUUAUAGUUUAACUGGCGGCAGAUUUCUCUGGGGACGGAGCCAGCAGGGACAGUGGCACUAUGAGGAAGACAAAGCCCUCAGAAGGCGGUGCUUUGACAGAUUGAGGAGGCAGGAUGGCGCUCCAAAUCUAGUGUACAAGAAGGAGAGAGUGACUGCAGGUCAGAGAUAAAAAUAUGGACAUC
Molecule: long non-coding RNA, 755 nt
Organism: Notolabrus celidotus (New Zealand spotty)
Lineage: Eukaryota; Metazoa; Chordata; Actinopteri; Labriformes; Labridae
Exons: 3
Source: RefSeq, a predicted model, not a curated record